This 423-nucleotide ribosomal RNA is filed under the name uncultured bacterium. RNAcentral's name for it is "bacterial SSU rRNA". It matches the Rfam family "Bacterial small subunit ribosomal RNA", at positions 355 to 775 of the family's 1533-position model. The record is from RNAcentral.
UAAGGAAUAUUGGUCAAUGGGCGGAAGCCUGAACCAGCCAUGCCGCGUGCAGGAAGACUGCCCUACGGGUUGUAAACUGCUUUUGUACCGGAAUAAACCCUGAUUCGUGAAUCAGGCUGAAUGUACGGUAAGAAUAAGGAUCGGCUAACUCCGUGCCAGCAGCCGCGGUAAUACGGAGGAUCCAAGCGUUAUCCGGAUUUAUUGGGUUUAAAGGGUGCGUAGGUGGCUUUUUAAGUCAGGGGUGAAAGACGGUAGCUUAACUAUCGCAGUGCCUUUGAUACUGAAGAGCUUGAAUGAACUAGAGGUAGGCGGAAUGUGACAAGUAGCGGUGAAAUGCAUAGAUAUGUCACAGAACACCAAUUGCGAAGGCAGCUUACUAUGGUUUGAUUGACACUGAGGCACGAAAGCGUGGGGAUCAAACAG